Non-coding RNA from Plectropomus leopardus (leopard coralgrouper), 541 nucleotides. Lineage: Eukaryota; Metazoa; Chordata; Actinopteri; Perciformes; Serranidae. The record is from the annotation of a RefSeq genome assembly.
AUGACUUUGUAUCACUGUGUGGUGACUUUUGGUGGAGGAACCAGACUGGAUGUUGGAAGUGAUGUCCGUCCCUCCCUGACGGUGCUGCCCCCCUCCAGUGAGGAGCUGGAGCAGGGGAAGGCCACGCUCAUGUGUCUGGCCAACAAGGGCUUCCCCUCAGACUGGAGUCUGUCCUGGAAGGUGGACGGCAGCAGCAGCAGCAGCAGCAGCAGCAGCUGGGAGGAGAGCAGGAGCCCCGGGGUGCUGGAGAAGGACGGCCGCUACAGCUGGAGCAGCACCCUGAGGCUCUCUGCAGACCAGUGGAGGAAGGUGGGCUCUGUGACCUGUGAGGCCACCCAGGGCUCCCAGACUCCACUCUCUCAGACACUGAGGAGAGACCAGUGUUCCCAGUCCUGACCUGACUCACUGGGACUCUGCUACUGGUUUUACUCUGCUACUGCUCUCAAUCUGCACUCUGUAACACUGUCUUAGUCUCUCUUCUUUGCUUGUCUUAAUGUUGAUGGUUCAAAGAUAUCGAAAUAAUAAAGAUUUUAUCAAAUCA